UGAUACAGUGUUGUCUUCAAUUCUGCUUUC
RNAcentral lists this non-coding RNA (30 nucleotides) under Homo sapiens (human). Lineage: Eukaryota; Metazoa; Chordata; Mammalia; Primates; Hominidae. The record is from RNAcentral.